UACGAAGGGGGCUAGCGUUGUUCGGAGUCACUGGGCGUAAAGCGCACGUAGGCGGAUCUUUAAGUCAGAGGUGAAAUCCCAAGGCUCAACCUUGGAACUGCCUUUGAUACUGGGGAUCUUGAGUCCGGGAGAGGUGAGUGGAACUGCGAGUGUAGAGGUGAAAUUCGUAGAUAUUCGCAAGAACACCAGUGGCGAAGGCGGCUCACUGGCCCGGUACUGACGCUGAGGUGCGAAAGCGUGGGGAGCAAACAGG
RNAcentral lists this ribosomal RNA (253 nucleotides) under uncultured bacterium. RNAcentral describes it as "partial 16S ribosomal RNA". It matches the Rfam family "Bacterial small subunit ribosomal RNA", at positions 524 to 776 of the family's 1533-position model. The record is from RNAcentral.